RNAcentral lists this ribosomal RNA (588 nucleotides) under Mesomycoplasma hyopneumoniae. RNAcentral describes it as "bacterial SSU rRNA". It matches the Rfam family "Bacterial small subunit ribosomal RNA", at positions 277 to 864 of the family's 1533-position model. Lineage: Bacteria; Bacillati; Mycoplasmatota; Mycoplasmoidales; Metamycoplasmataceae. The record is from RNAcentral.
UGAUGUUUAGCGGGGCCAAGAGGUUGUACCGCCACACUGGGAUUGAGAUACGGCCCAGACUCCUACGGGAGGCAGCAGUAAGGAAUAUUCCACAAUAAGCGAAAGCUUGAUGGAGCGACACAGCGUGCAGGAUGAAGUCUUUCGGGAUGUAAACUGCUGUUGUAAGGGAAGAAAAAACUAGAUAGGAAAUGCUCUAGUCUUGACGGUACCUUAUUAGAAAGCGACGGCAAACUAUGUGCCAGCAGCCGCGGUAAUACAUAGGUCGCAAGCGUUAUCCGGAAUUAUUGGGCGUAAAGCGUCCGUAGGUUUUUUGUUAAGUUUAAAGUUAAAUGCUAAAGCUCAACUUUAGUCCGCUUUAGAUACUGGCAAAAUAGAAUUAUGAAGAGGUUAGCGGAAUUCCUAGUGGAGUGGUGGAAUACGUAGAUAUUAGGAAGAACACCAAUAGGCGAAGGCAGCUAACUGGUCAUAUAUUGACACUAAGGGACGAAAGCGUGGGGAGCAAACAGGAUUAGAUACCCUGGUAGUCCACGCCGUAAACGAUGAUCAUUAGUUGGUGGCAAAAGUCACUAACACAGCUAACGCGUUAAA